Molecule: non-coding RNA, 92 nt
Filed under: human gut metagenome
Description: Purine riboswitch
Rfam family: Purine riboswitch aptamer
About the family: Riboswitches are metabolite binding domains within certain messenger RNAs that serve as precision sensors for their corresponding targets. Allosteric rearrangement of mRNA structure is mediated by ligand binding, and this results in modulation of gene expression.
Source: RNAcentral
UGAAUUAAAGGUCGUAUAUAUUCAAUAUAGUAUGGUUUGAACGUCUCUACCUUGUUGCCUAUAAAAACAAGACUACGACUCAUAUAAUUUUU